This is a long non-coding RNA of Acromyrmex echinatior (Panamanian leafcutter ant), 370 nucleotides long. Lineage: Eukaryota; Metazoa; Arthropoda; Insecta; Hymenoptera; Formicidae. The record is from RefSeq and is a predicted model, not a curated record.
CAGAUUCCACAUCGAGACAUCGGGGGAAUUCAACAAUCGAAAAUGCGGCGUUCGGAGAUUCUACCCUGAGAUCGUCGACAAAGCGAGCAACUGGGCUACAUCCUGCGCAAUAAGCAUCAAGAUGCGGUAGUCAGAUAGAUCUUUAUAUCGGCAAUGGGCGAAUGACUCGGACGCAAAACUCGUGGUUUCCAUCCGCUCGAAAUACUUCGGAAUUAUGAUAGCGAGGACCCAUACAGUGUCAUGGGAUGGCAGUGUUGUAAUUUGAUUAUAGAUUCCAUCGACGUCGAGUGUUAUUAACAUUGUUACGCAAGCAGAACAGUCACAUUACUGGCGAUUUGCUGAUACCGAGUGGAAUUAUUAAAUAGUUGGC